Molecule: long non-coding RNA, 423 nt
Organism: Ficedula albicollis (Collared flycatcher)
Lineage: Eukaryota; Metazoa; Chordata; Aves; Passeriformes; Muscicapidae
Exons: 4
Source: RefSeq, a predicted model, not a curated record
UGUCAGGGUUGAAGGUCACUAAUCUGUGCUGAAAGCAGCCAAGAGGAGCAAGCCAUGCGGAGGGAGAACUGGAACCAGCAGUGACACUUAGCAAAAGUGGACCUUUAGAAGGAAGCGGGGGAAAAGCUGCCAGGUCUCCUCAGGGAGAACAUGGAAAAAACCCAGAAUCAUCUUCUGCUAUCGGAACUGGGGUCGUGUGUCAGAACAGUACAAGAUAUGAGGAAAGUCUGGGGAAGAUUUAAUCAAGGUGCUAUUUCUUAAGGAUCUUUACCAGAGAAGCACAGUUGCAGAGAGAAGAGUGAAUGUUUGAGUCUUUGUUUUUUCUGGGAUGAACUCUAACUUUUCAGAAAUACCACCACUGUGUUUCCUGGACCUGCAGCUCUUCCAUUUGAAAUACUUGACUGUGUAUUUGUCUUGUCUGGG